Molecule: ribosomal RNA, 141 nt
Filed under: Hypogymnia physodes
Lineage: Eukaryota; Fungi; Ascomycota; Lecanoromycetes; Lecanorales; Parmeliaceae
Also listed under: 10 other names
Description: 5.8S ribosomal RNA
Rfam family: 5.8S ribosomal RNA
About the family: 5.8S ribosomal RNA (5.8S rRNA) is a component of the large subunit of the eukaryotic ribosome. It is transcribed by RNA polymerase I as part of the 45S precursor that also contains 18S and 28S rRNA.
Source: RNAcentral
AUCUCUUGGUUCCAGCAUCGAUGAAGAACGCAGCGAAAUGCGAUAAGUAAUGUGAAUUGCAGAAUUCAGUGAAUCAUCGAAUCUUUGAACGCACAUUGCGCCCCUCGGUAUUCUGGGGGGCAUGCCUGUUCGAGCGUCAUU